GACGGAGGGUGCUAGCGUUGUUCGGAAUCACUGGGCGUAAAGGGCGCGUAGGCGGCAUCGGAUGUCGGAUGUGAAAGCCCGGGGCUCAACCUCGGAGGUGCAUCCGAAACUCCGAAGCUCGAGGCCGGGAGAGGAGAGUGGAAUACCCAGUGUAGAGGUGAAAUUCGUAGAUAUUGGGUGGAACACCGGUGGCGAAAGCGGCUCUCUGGCUCAUUACUGACGCUCAGGCGCGACAGCGUGGGGAUCAAACAGG
This 253-nucleotide ribosomal RNA is filed under the name uncultured bacterium. Its description in RNAcentral is "partial 16S ribosomal RNA". It matches the Rfam family "Bacterial small subunit ribosomal RNA", at positions 524 to 776 of the family's 1533-position model. The record is from RNAcentral.